GGAGAGAUGGCCGAGUUGGUCUAAGGCGCCAGGUUAAGGUCCUGGUCUCAUUCUUGAGGCGUGGGUUCGAAUCCCACUCUCUUCA
This is a non-coding RNA of Cunninghamella echinulata, 85 nucleotides long. Lineage: Eukaryota; Fungi; Mucoromycota; Mucoromycetes; Mucorales; Cunninghamellaceae. The record is from the annotation of a GenBank genome assembly.